GCCGCUACACUGUAAAACCUUCCCUCUCCUACAAAGUUAAUUCACACAAGUAUUAAUCUUUUUUCUUAAUUAUGAGCCCCUAACCUCCAAAUUCUUGUAAACAUCAAAAUCUGUUUUAGCAAAAGAAAAGGUGAAUGACUUAAAGCCCAAUCUGACGAGAGAGAAUCCUAUUGUGAAGGUUGUAUUUCCGUGGAAAACUGAGGGAGAAGAAGCGAUGAAGUUCUGGGAUUGGUACUUGAAGAUAGCUGUUGGGUCAGCGAUGGUUGGAGGUUCAAUGGAGCUUUUCAUGAUCAAAACUGGUUUCUACGAUAAAGUAGCAGUUUUGGAGUCAGAGAAGAGGGCUUGGGAGAGUUCGCCUGAAGCUCAGGCCAUGAGAGACGCUCUCAAUCCUUGGCGGCAUCAAGAGAAGGAAGCCGAAAAGAGUUCCUAGUCGCGUUAGAACGGUCUUGAGUAAGGUUUGCAUCUCUUCUACAGUUGAUGAAAUUUAUGAAAAACCAAUUCUCUUACAUUACACCCUCAGAGUUAUCUUCCCUUGUCUGCAGAAAGCAGGCAAUUUGUUCCAAGGCAUAAUAUUCUGAAUUGAAAUUGGCAGAUCAUAAACUCAAUUACUGCCUUUGUUGCAGGCUUUAUUGUUGAAAUCGACUGACUGGUUUGAGUUAAGAUGGCGAGUUUAUGUUGAUAGAUAUUUGUUUGAAUGCAUCAUGUUUUCAUACAUGAUGUCAUUUGCUCAUAACGCUUCCGUUAACAUAGUAUUUCAGUUGAGUUCACGUAUUGUUGAGAUACUAUUCCAUUCGAGUUUAUGUGACUUUGAAUCUAUUCUAGUUAUUUUCAUUAUUGCUAGCCA
This is a long non-coding RNA of Salvia splendens (bonfire salvia), 844 nucleotides long. RefSeq lists it as uncharacterized. The transcript has 3 exons. The record is from RefSeq and is a predicted model, not a curated record. Lineage: Eukaryota; Viridiplantae; Streptophyta; Magnoliopsida; Lamiales; Lamiaceae.